This 405-nucleotide ribosomal RNA is filed under the name uncultured bacterium. Its description in RNAcentral is "bacterial SSU rRNA". It matches the Rfam family "Bacterial small subunit ribosomal RNA", at positions 88 to 486 of the family's 1533-position model. The record is from RNAcentral.
GUGGCGAGUGGCGAACGGGUGAGUAAUACAUCGGAACGUACCCAGAAGUGGGGGAUAACGUAGCGAAAGUCACGCUUAAUACCGCAUACGUUCUACGGAAGAAAGUGGGGGAUCGCAAGACCUCAUGCUUUUGGAGCGAGCCAGAUGUCUGAUUAGCUAGUUGGUGAGGUAAAGGCUCACCAAGGCGACGAUCAGUAGCUGGUCUGAGAGGACGCCAGCACACACUGGAACUGAGACACGGUCCAGACUCCUACGGGAGGCAGCAGUGGGGAAUUUUGGACAAUGGGCGCAAGCCUGAUCCAGCAAUGCCGCGUGAGUGAAGAAGGCCUUCGGGUUGUAAAGCUCUUUUGUCGGGGAAGAAACGGCAGUGGCUAAUAUCCUUUGCUAAUGACGGUGCCGGAAGAA